UACAGAGGGUGCAAGCGUUAAUCGGAAUUACUGGGCGUAAAGCGAGCGUAGUCGGUUAUUUAAGUCGGGUGUGAAAGCCCCGGGCUCAACCUGGGAAUUGCAUUCGAUACUGGCAGGCUUGAAUCCGGGAGAGGGAUGUGGAAUUCCAGGUGUAGCGGUGAAAUGCGUAGAUAUCUGGAGGAACACCGGUGGCGAAGGCGGCAUCCUGGACCGGCAUUGACGCUGAGGCGCGAAAGCUAGGGGAGCAAACGGG
Molecule: ribosomal RNA, 253 nt
Filed under: uncultured bacterium
Lineage: Bacteria
Description: partial 16S ribosomal RNA
Rfam family: Bacterial small subunit ribosomal RNA
Source: RNAcentral